GUGGCUUCGGCUACCACUUACAGAUGGACCCGCGGCGCAUUAGCUAGUUGGUGAGGUAACGGCUCACCAAGGCGACGAUGCGUAGCCGACCUGAGAGGGUGAUCGGCCACACUGGGACUGAGACACGGCCCAGACUCCUACGGGAGGCAGCAGUAGGGAAUCUUCCGCAAUGGACGAAAGUCUGACGGAGCAACGCCGCGUGAGUGAUGAAGGUUUUCGGAUCGUAAAGCUCUGUUGUUAGGGAAGAACAAGUGCCGUUCAAAUAGGGCGGCACCUUGACGGUACCUAACCAGAAAGCCACGGCUAACUACGUGCCAGCAGCCGCGGUAAUACGUAGGUGGCAAGCGUUGUCCGGAAUUAUUGGGCGUAAAGGGCUCGCAGGCGGUUUCUUAAGUCUGAUGUGAAAGCCCCCGGCUCAACCGGGGAGGGUCAUUGGAAACUGGGGAACUUGAGUGCAGAAGAGGAGAGUGGAAUUCCACGUGUAGCGGUGAAAUGCGUAGAGAUGUGGAGGAACACCAGUGGCGAAGGCGACUCUCUGGUCUGUAACUGACGCUGAGGAGCGAAAGCGUGGGGAGCGAACAGGAUUAGAUACCCUGGUAGUCCACGCCGUAAACGAUGAGUGCUAAGUGUUAGGGGGUUUCCGCCCCUUAGUGCUGCAGCUAACGCAUUAAGCACUCCGCCUGGGGAGUACGGUCGCAAGACUGAAACUCAAAGGAAUUGACGGGGGCCCGCACAAGCGGUGGAGCAUGUGGUUUAAUUCGAAGCAACGCGAAGAACCUUACCAGGUCUUGACAUCCUCUGACAAUCCUAGAGAUAGGACGUCCCCUUCGGGGGCAGAGUGACAGGUGGUGCAUGGUUGUCGUCAGCUCGUGUCGUGAGAUGUUGGGUUAAGUCCCGCAACGAGCGCAACCCUUGAUCUUAGUUGCCAGCAUUCAGUUGGGCACUCUAAGGGGACUGCCGGUGACAAACCGGAAGAAGGGGGGGAUGACGUCAAAUCAUCAUGCC
This 1005-nucleotide ribosomal RNA is filed under the name Bacillus sp. (in: firmicutes). RNAcentral's name for it is "bacterial SSU rRNA". It matches the Rfam family "Bacterial small subunit ribosomal RNA", at positions 207 to 1199 of the family's 1533-position model. The record is from RNAcentral. Lineage: Bacteria; Bacillati; Bacillota; Bacilli; Caryophanales; Bacillaceae.